UACGUAGGGUGCAAGCGUUGUCCGGAAUUAUUGGGCGUAAAGAGCUCGUAGGCGGUUUGUCGCGUCUGCUGUGAAAACUGGAGGCUCAACCUCCAGCCUGCAGUGGGUACGGGCAAACUAGAGUGCGGUAGGGGAGAUUGGAAUUCCUGGUGUAGCGGUGGAAUGCGCAGAUAUCAGGAGGAACACCGAUGGCGAAGGCAGAUCUCUGGGCCUUACCUGACGCUGAGGAGCGAAAGCGUGGGGAGCGAACAGG
Molecule: ribosomal RNA, 253 nt
Filed under: uncultured bacterium
Lineage: Bacteria
Description: partial 16S ribosomal RNA
Rfam family: Bacterial small subunit ribosomal RNA
Source: RNAcentral